This 440-nucleotide ribosomal RNA is filed under the name uncultured bacterium. Its description in RNAcentral is "partial 16S ribosomal RNA". It matches the Rfam family "Bacterial small subunit ribosomal RNA", at positions 338 to 795 of the family's 1533-position model. The record is from RNAcentral.
CCUACGGGAGGCAGCAGUGGGGGAUAUUGCACAAUGGGGGAAACCCUGAUGCAGCGACGCCGCGUGGGUGAAGAAGCGCCUCGGCGCGUAAAGCCCUGUCAGCAGGGAAGAAAAUGACGGUACCUGAAGAAGAAGCCCCGGCUAACCACGGACCAGCAGCCGCGGUAAUACGUAGGGGGCAAGCGUUAUCCGGAUUUACUGGGUGUAAAGGGGGCGCAGACGGGGAUGCAAGCCAGGAGUGAAAGCCCGGGGCCCAACCCCGGGACUGGUCUUGGAACUGGGUGGCUAGAGUGCAGGAGGGGCAGGCGGAAUGCCUGGUGUAGCGGUGAAAUGCGUAGAUAUCAGGAGGAACACCGGUGGCGAAGGCGGCCUGCUGGACUGCAACUGACGUUGAGGCCCGAAAGCGUGGGGAGCAAACAGGAUUAGAUACCCGAGUAGUC